GUAACGCGUGGAUAACCUGCCUGUUAGACCGGGAUAACUCCGGGAAACCGGAGCUAAUACCGGAUACGAAUUACCGAUCGCAUGAUUGGUAAUUGAAAGGAUUUCCGCUAACAGAUGGGUCCGCGUCCCAUUAGCUAGUUGGUGGGGUAACGGCCCACCAAGGCGACGAUGGGUAGCCGGCCUGAGAGGGUGACCGGCCACACUGGGACUGAGACACGGCCCAGACUCCUACGGGAGGCAGCAGUGGGGAAUAUUCCGCAAUGGGGGAAACCCUGACGGAGCAAUGCCGCGUGAGGGACGAAUGCCUUCGGGUUGUAAACCUCUGUUCUAUGGGAAGAGAAUGACGGUACCAUAGGAGUAAGCCCCGGCUAACUACGUGCCAGCAGCCGCGGUAAUACGUAGGGGGCGAGCGUUGUCCGGAAUUACUGGGCGUAAAGGGCGUGUAGGCUGCUUAAUAAGUUAGAGGUGAAAUUCCGUGGCUUAACCACGGGACUGCCUCUAAAACUGUUAGGCUUGAGUGCAGGAGAGGGAAGCGGAAUUCCUGGUGUAGCGGUGAAAUGCGUAGAUAUCAGGAGGAACACUAGUGGCGAAGGCGGCUUCCUGGCCUGUAACUGACGCUGAGGCGCGAAAGCGUGGGUAGCGAACAGGAUUAGAUACCCUGGUAGUCCACGCCGUAAACGAUGAGUGCUA
This 690-nucleotide ribosomal RNA is filed under the name uncultured Peptococcaceae bacterium. RNAcentral's name for it is "bacterial SSU rRNA". It matches the Rfam family "Bacterial small subunit ribosomal RNA", at positions 110 to 818 of the family's 1533-position model. Lineage: Bacteria; Bacillati; Bacillota; Clostridia; Eubacteriales; Peptococcaceae. The record is from RNAcentral.